AAGCAGACACAAUGGUAAGAAUGGUGUCUGUCCUGCUGUCUCUGCUGCUGCUUCUGGGUCCUGCUGUCCUCCAGGAGACCCGAGAUGGUCAUUACUCUCUGACCUAUCUCUACACUGGGCUGUCCAGGUCUGGCAAAGGCACCCACAGGCUGCAGGGCACUGUCUUCCUCAAUGGCCAUGCCUUCUUCCACUACAACAGUGAAGACAGGAAGGCUGAGCCCCUGGGACCAUGGAGACAUGCGGAAGGAGUAGAGGACUGGGAGAAGCAGAGCCAAGUUCAGAAGGCCAGGGAGGACAUCUUUAUGGAGACCCUGAACAACAUCAUGGAGUAUUACAACGACGGUAACGGUCAGUGAACAACAGACCGCGGGGGUGGAAGGUCUAACCCAAGAGGCAGCCCCCCAGGUGUGAGUGGCAAGGGGUCAGCAGGAUGGAAAUAGUCCCAAUCCCAGGGGAGGAACAGGAGACACAGCAGAAACACAGACAUGUCCGCAUCCCACCCCCCCCACAGCACAGUGUUGUCCCCUUCCCCAUCGAUUGCCCCAUCCUCAUCCCAGGUCUCAGGUCACACAGGAAGUGAUGGCAGAGUCACUUCCUAUCUAGGCACCUCUGACCUCUCACCUCCACUCCCCACCCAUCAGAGGCUGAUCUCCCCAUGAGAAGGCAUCAGACUCACCCCUGUCCAGGGAGGUUGCCUGGAGAAUGAGCCACUCUCAAAGUCACUCAGACCUGGGCUCACCUGGUGGCUCUGCCAGUCCUACCUGUUGACAGUGAAAUGUUCCCAAAAUAUCUGGUCGAAAUCUGCAAACAUUGGAGCACUGAGACCUAUCUCCAAACAAGUCUGUAAUAUUUAACUAUGUCUGUUCUAUGAAGGAUGUCACAGUCUGUCCUGAUCUCCCUUGCAGCUCCAUCACCUAGCACAGGGUACAGCCAAUAUUGGCUCAAUUGAAAUUUGUGGAAUCAACAGAGAAAAGCACCCAGCACACACCGUAGCCCAUGCUGGGGGCUCAGGAAGUGCUGCAUUCAAAACCACAGGCUGUUAGAGAUCCCUGCAGCCCUAAAGUUCCUCCUCACCAUAAGAUGCAGACCCAGGAAGGGCCACCUGCACUGUGGUCGGAGGAGCUGGUGGCAGAGCCCGUGCAGAGACGGUCCCCCUGCCCCCGGCCCAGCGUUCUUUCUCC
RNA transcript from Homo sapiens (human), 1181 nucleotides. It is a transcript of the gene named AZGP1 pseudogene 1, with no coding region annotated. The record is from RefSeq and is marked validated. Lineage: Eukaryota; Metazoa; Chordata; Mammalia; Primates; Hominidae. The transcript is spliced from 2 exons.